Molecule: non-coding RNA, 217 nt
Organism: Nicotiana tabacum (common tobacco)
Lineage: Eukaryota; Viridiplantae; Streptophyta; Magnoliopsida; Solanales; Solanaceae
Source: RefSeq, a predicted model, not a curated record
UUUUUCUUCCUUCUCUUUGAAGGAAAGCUGAAGUAUACGUCUCUAAGACAUUAUCUUCGCAGACAUCUUCACAAAAAUAAUGCAAUAGUGACUGGACUUUAUGCAUGCGACUAAACCUACAAAAAGAUAAAGAAGAUGGAAAAACGAAGACAAAGAAUCACAAGUCAAUGAAAAAAAGACAAAAAGGUAUGCCAUCUUUUUGCGUUGCAUAUUGUCG